GCCAGUAGAUUUUAUUCUUUUCAACAAGUGUGGGGAGGCAGGACGAGAUUGUUACACUGAACAGGUCUGUUUGGAGUUGUUAUUCUUUGUAAUUACCUUCAUUCUGUUUCCCUGCUUGUCAAUCAGCUCUGAACUUUAAAUGUACCAGUAAUUUGUGAGAAAAAUGCACUUCUAUUUCCUACAGGCACAUGUGUGCUUGAAGAUGGGUGUAUAUGUAGGUAUACACACUGUAUUUGAAAGGUGUUUCUGUAAUUUUCUAAAAAAAGGACGGAAUAUUUCAUUUACACAUAGAUAACAUUUAAUCUUUCUUUUAUUUUGGGGGGGGGUGCAGGGGUUGGGGAUUGAACACCAGGACAUUUUACCCUAUAAAAUUUGAGGCUGGCCUCAAAUCUUGACUCUUGCUUCUACGCUGCGAGACUUACGGGUUUGUGCCCCUGAGCCUUGAGGCAAUUUGUAUAUUUUCAAGAUGAAAGCAGUGCUGGGAGCGGCACAGUAGUGCAUGCCUGUAAUCCCAGCAACUCAGGAGGCUGAGGCAGGAGGAUUGUAAAUUCAAAGCCAGCCUCAGGGACAGCGAGGUGCUAAGCAACUCAGUGAGACCCUGUCUCAAAAUAAAAUACAAAAAGGGCUGGGGAUGUAGCUCAGUGGUUAAGUGCCCCUGGGUUCAAUCCCUGGUACCAAAUAAAUAAAAAAACAAAAAACAGUGCUGGGGAUGGAACCCAAGACCUCUCACAUGCUAGGCAAGUGCUCAUUCACUGAGCUACAUCCCUAGCCUGCACCCAAAAAAAUUCAAUAUAAAUAAAGAGUAUAAUUUCAGGAAAUUGAAUUGACAUUUUAUAGCAUAUUUGUUACAAAAUGUGAAUAUCUAUUUUUAAAAUCAUGAAUUUUAACUGCCACUGCUUAUUAGAGAUAUAAAUUUGAGACCACAUUUGCUGUGUUGCUCUACACAUAUUGUACACUCUAUUUAGUAUCAGAACUUUCUAGAUUGCACCAGACUCACCUGGAUCAGGAAACUGCAGCCAAAAUAAAAAUCACUCCACAAAAGUGUCCUGAACUAUAAAAAAGCCUUAAGAAGCAUGGUGCCUUUGUAAAAUGGUGAUCAUCAUAGACAUUAUCCUUCUUUGCCUUGGUGUAGAAAAAAGCCUCGGAUGCCACCCUACGUUUUUCAUUCAUUCAUUCAUUCAUCCAACAGACAUUUAUGGAGAAACUGCAGUGUGCCCAGCUCUGCGGGGGAAUUUGAAGAAACCUAUAUAAUGGUCAAAGAGGAUCUAGGAAAGGACAGAGGAGAAAAGCUGCAGAAUUCGCCACAUUACAGUGUCCUGGCCUGGCCUUUCCAGGCUGGGCAUUAUGCAAAUCCCUUUCCUGCUUCCUGCUUGAGGUCCCGUACCUCCACCAGGGGGUGUUAGGGGAUAGAAAGAAAAGAUGAAGGCGACUCCUUCCUCAGCAACUGCCUCCCUCCCUGGGCUGGGACGGGUGAAAACAAGGUUCUCCAAUGAUGCUAUCUGUUGGCUUCAGCUUUGCAGCUUACCCUCGGCACAGGAGCCAGAAGGAUCUUUGUGGACUAUCAUUCCGCCACCCCAAAACCUUCCGGCAGUUUCCUGGCACCCAAAGUGCAAGAGGAGACCCAGUUGCCUGAUUUGCCCUCUUGCUUCCUUAGUUCCUGCCCCUCAGCCCAUCUCUCAGGCCCCCCGACCUUUACAGUGGCCAUUCCUUGUAUCUGGAGCCUCCCAGGUCUCCUCCUUUGAGUCUUUGUCAAAUGUCACCUGCUCUAAGAGAUCCCACCCCCUGCAAGCCCUGGCCUCAGCCACCUCCCCAGUUUUUAAACAGUGCUUUGGACUUUCUAGCGUUCUCUUCAGCUUAUUUACUGUCUUUCUCCCCUCACAAGGAGGUAAGUUCGAUGAGGUCAAGGGUUUUUAUUUGUUUUAUUGACUGAUGUAACCCCAG
Molecule: long non-coding RNA, 1941 nt
Filed under: Marmota monax (woodchuck)
Lineage: Eukaryota; Metazoa; Chordata; Mammalia; Rodentia; Sciuridae
Source: RNAcentral